GAUGAACGCUGGCGGUCUGCUUAACACAUGCAAGUCGAACGAACUCUUCGGAGUGAGUGGCGGACGGGUGAGUAACGCGUGAGAAUCUGCCUGUGGGUCGGGGACAACCACUGGAAACGGUGGCUAAUACCGGAUGAGCCGAAAGGUAAAAAAUUUAUUGCCCACAGAUGAGCUCGCGUCUGAUUAGCUAGUUGGUAAGGUAAAAGCGUACCAAGGCGACGAUCAGUAGCUGGUCUGAGAGGAUGAGCAGCCACACUGGGACUGAGACACGGCCCAGACUCCUACGGGAGGCAGCAGUGGGGAAUUUUCCGCAAUGGGCGAAAGCCUGACGGAGCAAGACCGCGUGGGGGAGGAAGGUUUUUGGAUCGUAAACCCCUUCUGUCAAGGAAGAAGUUCUGACGGUACUUGACGAAUAAGCCUCGGCUAACUCCGUGCCAGCAGCCGCGGUAAUACGGAGGAGGCAAGCGUUAUCCGGAAUGAUUGGGCGUAAAGCGUCUGUAGGUGGCCAGCUAAGUCUGCUGUUAAAGAUCACAGCUCA
Molecule: ribosomal RNA, 538 nt
Filed under: uncultured bacterium
Lineage: Bacteria
Description: bacterial SSU rRNA
Rfam family: Bacterial small subunit ribosomal RNA
Source: RNAcentral